This 75-nucleotide transfer RNA is filed under the name candidate division MSBL1 archaeon SCGC-AAA259O05. Its description in RNAcentral is "tRNA-Cys". It matches the Rfam family "tRNA". From Rfam's summary of the family: Transfer RNA (tRNA) molecules are approximately 80 nucleotides in length. Their secondary structure includes four short double-helical elements and three loops (D, anti-codon, and T loops). Further hydrogen bonds mediate the characteristic L-shaped molecular structure. tRNAs have two regions of fundamental functional importance: the anti-codon, which is responsible for specific mRNA codon recognition, and the 3' end, to which the tRNAs corresponding amino acid is attached (by aminoacyl-tRNA synthetases). tRNAs cope with the degeneracy of the genetic code in two manners: having more than one tRNA (with a specific anti-codon) for a particular amino acid; and 'wobble' base-pairing, i.e. permitting non-standard base-pairing at the 3rd anti-codon position. The record is from RNAcentral. Lineage: Archaea; Methanobacteriati; Methanobacteriota.
GCCGGGGUGACCGAGUGGCUAAGGUGGCGGACUGCAGAUCCGCUUACGCCGGUUCGAAUCCGGCUCCCGGCUCCA